GCUGGCGCGUGCCUAAUACUGCAAGUCGAGCGGACAGUAUGGGAGCUUGCUCCCUGAUGUUAGCGGCGGACGGGUGAGUAACACGUGGGUAACCUGCCUGUAAGACUGGGAUAACUCCGGGAAACCGGGGCUAAUACCGGAUGGUUGUUUGAACCGCAUGGUUCAAACAUAAAAGGUGGCUUCGGCUACCACUUACAGAUGGACCCGCGGCGCAUUAGCUAGUUGGUGAGGUAAUGCUCACCAAGGCAACGAUGCGUAGCCGACCUGAGAGGGUGAUCGGCCACACUGGGACUGA
RNAcentral lists this ribosomal RNA (295 nucleotides) under Bacillus subtilis. RNAcentral describes it as "partial 16S ribosomal RNA". It matches the Rfam family "Bacterial small subunit ribosomal RNA", at positions 35 to 322 of the family's 1533-position model. The record is from RNAcentral. Lineage: Bacteria; Bacillati; Bacillota; Bacilli; Caryophanales; Bacillaceae.